RNAcentral lists this ribosomal RNA (525 nucleotides) under Triticum aestivum (bread wheat). RNAcentral's name for it is "partial small subunit ribosomal RNA". The record is from RNAcentral. Lineage: Eukaryota; Viridiplantae; Streptophyta; Magnoliopsida; Poales; Poaceae.
CAGUCGCUACUUGGAGGGCUUUGUCGACGGCACUCUACCGUGCCCCCGCCAUACCACCCGGGGCAUCAUGCGUGGGUGGCUCAGGAUCAUGCCAUCCUCUCUGCCAUCCAGUCCUCUCUAACGGAGGGGGUCUCGUCACUGGUCAUCUUCGCCGCUACGUCUCGGGACGCGUGGACGGCUCUUCAUACCAGUUUUGCAUCGCAGUCUCAGGCGCGGGCUCAUGCUAUCCGCACUGCGCUUGGGGAAGUGAAGCUUCAUGAUCUCACUGUCACCGACUACUUCAACAAGGUGACGGGUAUGGCUGACACACUUGCCUCCAUUGGCAUGGCUCUUGGUCCAGAGGAGUUCACAUCUUAUGUGCUGAACGGACUGAGUGACGACUAUGAUAAUUUGGUGGAGAAUAUCAAUGGUCGUGACACUCCCAUCCAGCCGCGUGAGUUGUACGCGCGUCUCCUUGCUACGGAACAUCGCAUCCAGGCUCGCCGCUCUACGCCGAGCUUCCCUUCCGCCAAUGCUGCAAUGCGU